UGGAAGCGCGUGCUCCUUGUGGCUGCCUGCUACAGAAAUCCUGCGCACGGGCCAACUCCUGGUGCUGUUUUUACUUCUAGUAUGAUCUGUGAGGCCACUAUCGAUCGCAUAGUUGAACUAUUAAAGUUGACGAACUCAGGCAAUUAUCUUUCUACUGUUUUGCUUAUUUCUCUUUUACUUCUAUGAAAGUGUCUUUUGAUGUUAAUUUAUUCAUAUGAUUGAUGAAACUCUUAAGAUAUGAAAGUAUUAAUGCUUGCUAGCCUGUAUUUUGCUUAUAGCUCUCAAAAUUUUGCAAGUUAUAUUUGACAAACUAUCAAUAUUGCAUGUGUUCGGUAACCUUUAUAUUUCUCAUUGCUCCUUGAAGUUUCAAACAAAAUUUACUUCAUAUUUGUUUUCUUUAUGAGGGCGUUUUACAUGUUUGCAUUGUGAAAUGCCUUUGAGUCCAUGCCGGAACAUAUGAUUUACUGCAAUGCAAUGCGAUUUUAUUCUAGGGCUUCGUAAAUGUUUGUCUGAACAUGUCGUUGUCCUAAUACGUAGUGUUAUUUUCGGUUCUAAUAUCUAUCUUAUACUGCAGAAAUAAAUUGCUGGCAGGAAUGGCUUGUCUUCUCUGAUAUAUUCUUUUUUCUCAUCAAAAGUGGAUGCAUUGAUUUUGUGGAUUUUGUCGACAAGCUUGUCUCACGACUCACAGGCAGUGAUCAGAAGUUUCUUCGAAC
Molecule: long non-coding RNA, 713 nt
Filed under: Linum usitatissimum (flax)
Lineage: Eukaryota; Viridiplantae; Streptophyta; Magnoliopsida; Malpighiales; Linaceae
Description: long non-coding RNA (LUSI_LNC007674)
Source: RNAcentral